RNAcentral lists this non-coding RNA (178 nucleotides) under Pseudomaricurvus sp. HS19. RNAcentral describes it as "6S / SsrS RNA". It matches the Rfam family "6S / SsrS RNA". Rfam says of the family: E. coli 6S RNA was the first non coding RNA to be sequenced, but its function was unknown until recently. It consists of 184 nucleotides that fold into an extended hairpin structure with a large single-stranded internal bulge. The 6S RNA specifically associates with RNA polymerase holoenzyme containing the sigma70 specificity factor. Lineage: Bacteria; Pseudomonadati; Pseudomonadota; Gammaproteobacteria; Cellvibrionales; Cellvibrionaceae. The record is from Rfam by way of RNAcentral.
CCCACCCUGAGGUGUUUGCCAGUCAACAAGUCCUCGAGCCGAUAAUCUAUACCCCGGGGGUAGCUAGUCAGUACCCGUGUGCAGGUCCGGUCUACGGAAAGCCUUAGGUACUGCAGAGACCCCCACCUUGAACCUUACGGUUCAAGGCCAAGUUGACAGCGGCACCCUCGGGGCUCCU